AUGAAUCACAACCCGGAGAUUCUUUGUCGGAAUGUGCAUGGACUUAAUAGCCCCGCAAAAUGGAAGGCUGUUAAAGAUUUCAUAGCUACGGUUAAGGUGAACCUCGUGUGUCUGCAAGAGACAAAACUAGAUAUAAUUGACCAGUUUAUGGUAAUGUAAUGCUUAGGCCCGUCCUUCGACGACUUUUCUUACUUGCUGGCUGUGGAGACGCGAGGUGGAAUCCUCCUUGCCUGGGACUCGACUACCCUCAUGGUAGAUCAUAUCAAUCUCAAUAAUAACUCGCUAAUGGGCUACGUGCACACCAAGGAAGGGAGCAACUGGUGGCUGACAAUGGUGUAUGCGGCCCAAGGGGAUGAGCUCAAGACUCAAUUCUUGUCGGAGUUGUCUGCAAGGAGAGAGAGCUACCCCGGCCCUUGGAUGCUUCUCGGUGACUUUAAUAUGAUCCUUAGGGCGAGCGAGAAGAAUAACAAUAACAUCAAUCAAGGCAUGAUGAACAAUUUUAGGAGCUUUGUGGACGAGCAUGAGCUAAAAGAAGUGUACAUGCAUGGGCGCAUGUAUACCUGGUCCAAUGAGAGAGAUGCCCCUACCCUCACCAAAAUUGACAGGGCCUUGGCUUCCAUCGACUGGGAGUUGUCUUAUCCUGACCAUCUUCUCCAAGCCCUGUCGACUAGCAUCUCGGAUCACAAGCCCUUGCACCUAUCGACGAGCACACAUUUCUACCCGAAAAAGCGCUUUCGCUUUGAGAUCUACUAG
Molecule: ribosomal RNA, 753 nt
Filed under: Triticum aestivum (bread wheat)
Lineage: Eukaryota; Viridiplantae; Streptophyta; Magnoliopsida; Poales; Poaceae
Description: partial small subunit ribosomal RNA
Source: RNAcentral